AGAGAGUUUGAUCCUGGCUCAGGAUGAACGCUGGCGGCGUGCCUAACACAUGCAGGUCGAACGGGUUAAGGGAAAUUUCGGAUGGAACUUAACUUAGUGGCGGACGGGUGAGUAACGCGUGGAUAACCUGCCUCACACUGGGGGAUAGCAGCUGGAAACGGCUGGUAAUACCGCAUAAGACCACGAUGCCGCAUGGCACCGGGGUAAAAGAUUUAUCGGUGUGAGAUGGAUCCGCGUCUGAUUAGCCAGUUGGCGGGGUAACGGCCCACCAAAGCGACGAUCAGUAGCCGGCCUGAGAGGAUGAACGGCCACAUUGGGACUGAGACACGGCCCAAACUCCUACGGGAGGCAGCAGUGGGGAAUAUUGCACAAUGGGCGCAAGCCUGAUGCAAGCAACGCCGCGUGAGUGAAGAAGUAUUUCGGUAUGUAAAGCUCUAUCGGCAGGGAAGAAAGGCCCGAAAGGGAGAUGACGGUACCUGACUAAGAAGCCCCGGCUAACUACGUGCCAGCCGCCGC
This 516-nucleotide ribosomal RNA is filed under the name uncultured bacterium. RNAcentral's name for it is "bacterial SSU rRNA". It matches the Rfam family "Bacterial small subunit ribosomal RNA", at positions 1 to 518 of the family's 1533-position model. The record is from RNAcentral.